AUGUCGCGCACCGUUGAGAUGGAGGAAGCGGAGGAGGUGCUCAGCCGGGCGAUGGUGGCCACCAUCACUGGGACUCGUCCCCAGGUGUCCGCCGACGACGUCGCUGAGCUCCUCUACUCCACGUUCGGCUUUGAAGAAGGCGACUUCACCACCCACCUCCACAAGCCGGAAGAUUUCCUGAUCAUCAUCGGCUCCCGCGCCUCCAAGGACCGCAUGAACGGCGACCACUACAUCCGCUGCUCGCGCUUCUCACUGUCGCUUCGCCCAUGGUGCAAACUUGCCCACGCCGGCUCCGGUGGGUUCGAAUACCGCGUCGAGCUCGAGCUCCGCGGCAUCCCCGCCCAUGCCUGGCACUUAGCGACGGCGGAGCACAUCCUCGGGACCGGUGUCUGGAUUGAGCGCCUCCAUCCGCAGACGCGCUCCCGCGCCGACCUGGCCACGUUCCGCCUCUCUGGUCGCGCGCACGACCCUGCCGACAUCCGCCGCGCUGCGACGCUGGAAAUCGUCGAGGUCACUCCGGGACGCACCGCCUCCUCCGCCCCCACAGUCACCACCCUCAUGUACCCCAUCGCCAUCGCCCUUGCCCGAUCCGACGUCGACCGAGCUCGCGCCCCCUCCAGUCAUGCAGCUCGCCCAGAUGGCGCGGGUGACGGGCGCGCGGCGGCUGAUGGCGAUGUUGAUGCCGGCUAG
Molecule: ribosomal RNA, 690 nt
Filed under: Triticum aestivum (bread wheat)
Lineage: Eukaryota; Viridiplantae; Streptophyta; Magnoliopsida; Poales; Poaceae
Description: partial small subunit ribosomal RNA
Source: RNAcentral